This 108-nucleotide non-coding RNA is filed under the name Escherichia coli. RNAcentral's name for it is "antisense sRNA RprA". It matches the Rfam family "RprA RNA". Rfam says of the family: Translational regulation of the stationary phase sigma factor RpoS is mediated by the formation of a double-stranded RNA stem-loop structure in the upstream region of the rpoS messenger RNA, occluding the translation initiation site. Clones carrying rprA (RpoS regulator RNA A) increased the translation of RpoS. Lineage: Bacteria; Pseudomonadati; Pseudomonadota; Gammaproteobacteria; Enterobacterales; Enterobacteriaceae. The record is from RNAcentral.
ACGGUUAUCAAUCAACAUAUUGAUUUAUAAGCAUGGAAAUCCCCUGAGUGAAACAACGAAUUGCUGUGUGUAGUCUUUGCCCAUCUCCCACGAUGGGCUUUUUUUUAA